UGCCUCCUCCUCAGACAGUGCUGAGUCCUAUGGAUACUGUGUUCCCAGGGCAGGGCUGCCUCCUCCACUGACAGUUCUGAGUCCUAUGGAUACUGUGUUCCCAGGUCAGGGCUGCAUCCUCCACUGACAGUUCUGAGUCCUAUGGAUACUGUGUUCCCAGGUCAGGGCUGCAUCCUCCACUGACAGUGCUGAGCCCUAUGAAUACUAUGUUCCCAGGUCAGGGCUGCCUCCUCCUCAGACAGUGCUGAGUCCUAUGGAUAUUAUGGUUUUUAUUUUUUUCUAUAUCUUUGUUAAAAUUUACAAAUUAAGUACAGCAAGGUAUUAACAAAAUUCAACAGUCAUAAUGUAAUAAAAGGUAUGGUGAUGAGCUACUAUUAACUAAAACAAGGGUUUUUUGAACAUAAGCUCUUACCUGACAGUGUAUCUGACCUAUACGGCUACUGAUGACCCACAGGCAGGUAGUGUAGACAGUGUGAGAUUUCAUCCCACUGCUUCGAAGAAUGGUGUCCCAUUUAACACUGAGGAAGUAUUUAUGUCUGGAAUUUUCCAUCUAAUAUGUCCAGACUGAGGGUAAUUGUGGGCACGAAAGUGUGGAAAGCAAAACCAUGGAUGGAGGCACUACUGAGUUCUGCUGAAAUAUGCUGGUUACAGCAAGCCCGGGUUGCUCAAGGAGAAUGCUUCCUGUUUAGGCUGCUAGCCCUAAUCCUUGUACCAGAAGGACAUUGCUGCGUGUGGCUAAGUGCUCAACGAGCGAAAGGAAACAAACAGAACUGUUCUUUUUCUAAGGUUCACUGCAGUAGAAGAAAAUGACAGAUAAUCCCAAGUAGAAGACUACAGAUAAACCGAUGUGUGCAUCCAAAUAUGUGGAACAGAGGAAACCUCACCUGUAAGAGUAAAAGGUGAAAAUCCCAUUGUGGCUGAGUUUUGCACCUCCAGCAUAAGCACCACCUUUUUCUCGAAUUUCUGUAUGCAGAAACUUGGCAGUCAUCAAGCAUGCAAGGAUUUUGAGACUGAAAUGGAUUAGAAAAUCCUGUUAAAAACAUGUCUGAUAAAAAAGCAUGCAGUGAAAUAAUUAUUGGAAUAAGUGAAAAUGAAAAUAAACUCAAUCUGUAAAGUAAUGCCAUAUAAA
This is a long non-coding RNA of Cebus imitator (Panamanian white-faced capuchin), 1129 nucleotides long. RefSeq lists it as uncharacterized. The transcript is spliced from 2 exons. The record is from RefSeq and is a predicted model, not a curated record. Lineage: Eukaryota; Metazoa; Chordata; Mammalia; Primates; Cebidae.